ACUUCCCUCGUCAGCUCCUCAUCAGCACUCAUCACCUGCACCUGGACUUGAUCAUCUGCACUCCCUUUAUAAUGCACUCACUCCCUGCACUCCUGGUCCGUUCUCUGUUUAUGUUAGACGCUUGUUUGGUGUACUCUGCCUUUGUUUAUAUUAAAACCCUGUAUGUUUGUGGAAAUCCGUUAUCUGCCUCAUCUCUACACCACCAGCCGUAACAUAUACCAGUUAAAUUUUCAAGUAACUUCAAUUCUUUGGCGAAUGAAAGUGUAUCUCUACAUUUUUUUUUUUUUGUUAUCAAUACAUUGGAGAGACUCAACAUACAAAUGAAAAUCAAUCAUAAAGACCUUCAAACAGGGUUUAGAAUUAUUUCUUUUACUUUUAUGAAUAUGAAAUUUACCCAAUACAAUCAUAAGAUUCAUCAUAAAAUUAACAGAUGGAUUUUUUGAUUCAAAAUAUAAGAUAACAUCUUUGGAUGUUAAUUCACAGUUAUAACCAGACUUCUGUAGAAUAUGUAUAGACAAAUCUUCCCAGAAUUUUUUUGGAGUGGUAACACUAAAAAAAAGAUGUAGAAUUCUUUCUGGCUGAUCUGAAAAUUCAUUAAUAAAUUUUUCACUAAUAUCCAUAAAUUUUGAUAAAGUGUAGUUACUAACAUAAAUAUUAUGAAGUACUUUCAGAUGUAUUUCCCGAAGUUUGUUAGAUAUAUAAAACCGAAAGGGAAGCAGCCAAGCUUUUUUCCAAAUAAUUUCUGGAAAACAACUGUUCCAGAAAAAAUUCCCUCUAGGCUUAAUAGAUCUCUUUUCAUAAAAUAUAUUCCUAAUAAAUUUAUUUGUGCAUUUUUUACUGUUAAUGUCCACCCCAUUUAAAUGAAGAGCGGCUUCAAUUUUACAAGUGUUAAGGGACAACUUAUGGCAUAUCAACAUCUCAAUAAACCUUGGGGAAUUGCAUUUAUUACAGAAUAAUAUUCUCUAUAUUUAAUAGGAAAUGUCCAUUUAUUCAAAAGAUUUUCAUAAGAAAGAAACUGAACUGACUGAUCAAAAAGGUCAGAUACAAAAUAAAUUCCCUUCCAUCCAAUUCUGUAAAUAAAGAGAUUUUCCGUUAACUGUAAUAUAAGUAUUGUUCCACAAGAUUGCUUUAUGUGGAGAAAAGUUAUGCACAUAACAUAACUUCCAGGCCUUGAGAGCUUGUUGAUAGAAAUUGGAUAAUGCCACAGGCAGUUUGUUAGUAGAGUAAUCACACAUUAACAAAAAGCGUAAAUCUCCAACCUUUUUAAAAACAUUGUAUGGUAUAAAAAACCAUAUUGAGUCUGAUUUAAGUAUACAGUUUCUGAGUCAUUUUACUUUGAACGUAUAAUUUAAAUCGAAAAUUCCAAAAGCUCAAAACCACCUUCAUUCCUUGGACCCUGAAAAACUUUUUUUCUUAAAUGAUGAUGAUUCCUCCAAACAAAUAUAGUAAAUAAAUCAUUAAUUUUCUUACAAAUUGAGUCUUGAACAAAGAAGGAUAAUGCCGGAUAAACAAAUCAAGAUACCCCUUCUACUUUGGUUAAAAGGACUCUACCUAUAAUAGUCAAGUCUCUUUGAAGCCAAUUAUUAAAUAUGUUUUGAGCUUUUUUAAGUUUAGGGGAAAAAUGUAAUUCUUGUCUCUUCACUAUAUCUUUUGUAACACUUGUUCCUAAAUACUUAAUCUUAUUUUUUACUGGGAUGUUACACAAAUUUUUUUCAUUUUAUUCAUAAAGGCACAUUAUUUCACAUUUCGUGACAUUUAACAUUAAACCAGAAGCAACAGAAAAAGUGUUUACUAACUGCAAAGCUGCAGGCAACUGUUCUUUAUCUUUGAAGAAAAGAACAGUAUCAUCCACAAGCUGAUUCAGUUUAAUUUGUUUGUUGAAGAUGGUAAUUCCUUGGAUAAUUGAAGAAUUCAAAACUUUUAUGUAAAGAAACUCUACUGCAAUAAGCAAUAAAAAAGGGGAUAUAGGACAACUUUGAGACACUCCUCUACAAAUAGGAAAACUUUUAGAAGUGUUUGGAUAUAAAUUAACAGAGCUAUUAAUACCUCUAUGAAACAUUUCAAUUAUAGAAACAAAUCUUUCCCCAAAACCAAAAGAUUUUAGUGCCCUAUACAUAAACUGAUGCUCAAUAGUGUCAAAAGCUUUGUGGAAAUCGAGGAAAACAAUUAAAGCCUCCGAUUCCACUAUUCCAUUUGAAUAGUCUAAUAAAUCCAAAUCAGUCUAAUGUUCCAACUUAUGUGUCGGCCAGCCAUAAACCCAGUUUGACACUCAUUUAUAAUUUUGUUCAGACCUUUUUUCAAACUAACUGCAUAAAUAAGAAAUAACAAUUUAUAAUCUACAUUUAAUAAAGUUUUAGGACGCCAAUUAUCCAAAAUCAAGUGAUCUUUAUCUGGUUUUGGGAGUAGGGUUAUUAGCCCCUGUUUCAUAGAAGUCGAUAAUUCAUUGGAUUCAAUACAUUCUUUAUAAAUUUAGAAUAAAGGAUUUUCAAUAAUAUCCCAAAAGCAGAGCUAAAAUUCAACAGAAAGACCUGCAGAGGCGAUUUAUUUUUUUUCAUUGAACAAAUAGCUGUAACCAUCUCUUGCUUCCUAAGUUUUUCAUCACAAAGGUCUCGAAAUUGAAUAGAAAUAGAAGGGACCGAUUGCUUAACUGACUCAAAGAAGUAAGAACAUUUAUCCAAUUCAAAUACAGAUUCAUAUAACUUAAAAGGAUUCCACAUAAUUUGUAAUCAAUUUUGGAUUCGAAGUGGGUACAUCAAUUUUAAUCUUGGCUAUAUCAUAUUGACCGGCGAUAGCCCAUGACAUCAUAACAAUGCGACCCGCGUGAAUAGAGGGUAUGCAUCGACAUCACUUUCCCACCGGAACGCGCUCCCUCAGCUGGACUGAGUGGCAAAGCUGCAUGACUGGAUUUAAUAGGGGAAACUGCGAAAACACCAGUAAAACAAACGUUUACACUAAAGGGACUGUCAUGUGUGAAGCACUAUCUGGCAAAAUGAAAUGCACAGAGAGGAUUAUUAAGUGUGUGGAUCCGUGUCCUCGCUACCUGACACUAGAUGACACACACAAGCUGUUCGUUCUCUGUCUGGGGAAGAGCACGCAUGGAGGAAAUCGUCCCAUCAGAUCCAUUCCUAGGGUGUGUCCAGGCUCUGUAACUUGCGUGCUCUGUAGGAAACCAGAUGGCUUAGAAUUACUGGGGACUCUCUGAUACAGCACCCCUCUACUGUACCUCAAAGGAAAUAGACCUUUCUUUGGUUGAGCGAGGUUUAAUGCCAUCUUUCAGAUCGGGAAGCUGUGGAGACGUUGCUGCCCGGCAUUCAUCGAUCCACCGCGAGG
Megalobrama amblycephala (Wuchang bream) is the source of this 3330-nucleotide long non-coding RNA. RefSeq lists it as uncharacterized. The transcript has 5 exons. The record is from RefSeq and is a predicted model, not a curated record. Lineage: Eukaryota; Metazoa; Chordata; Actinopteri; Cypriniformes; Xenocyprididae.